This 403-nucleotide ribosomal RNA is filed under the name uncultured bacterium. RNAcentral's name for it is "bacterial SSU rRNA". It matches the Rfam family "Bacterial small subunit ribosomal RNA", at positions 8 to 425 of the family's 1533-position model. The record is from RNAcentral.
AGAGUUUGAUCCUGGCUCAGAAUCAACGCUGGCGGCGCGCUUAACACAUGCAAGUCGCACGAGAAAGUGGAGCAAUCCAUGAGUAAAGUGGCGUACGGGUGAGUAACACGUGGAUCAUCUACCUCUUAGUGGGGAAUAACCCUGGGAAACCGGGGCUAAUACCGCAUAAGCCUGCAAAGGGAAAGCAGCAAUGCGCUGAGAGAGGAGUCCGCGGCCGAUUAGCUAGUUGGUAGGGUAAUGGCCUACCAAGGCAAUGAUCGGUAGCCGGCCUGAGAGGGCACACGGCCACACUGGCACUGAAACACGGGCCAGACUCCUACGGGAGGCAGCAGUGGGGAAUCUUGCACAAUGGGCGAAAGCCUGAUGCAGCGACGCCGCGUGAGCGAUGAAGCCCUUCGGGGUG